This 99-nucleotide non-coding RNA is filed under the name Pycnococcus provasolii. Lineage: Eukaryota; Viridiplantae; Chlorophyta; Pseudoscourfieldiophyceae; Pseudoscourfieldiales; Pycnococcaceae. The record is from RNAcentral.
AAAAAUGACAAAUAUAGAAAAAGAAUGGAGAGGAAAAAAAUGUCACCAAUAAAAAAGGACUUCUUUUCUUCCCCUCGUUUUUUUAUGUCAUUAUGUCUU